GCUCCCCUCCCCAGACCCCGCCCCCCCAACCCUAGCGCGCCGCCUGCAUCCUGCGCUGCGCCUGCUGCUAGCGCGCGCUGCGGCCGGCCAGAUGGCCGGGCGAGAUGGUCCUCCGCCAAGCGCCGCCGACGAUUUGCCCGACCUCGUCGCCGAAGCCCACGCCGCGCAGCUCCAGUUCGUUUCCUCCCUUCCCGCGGCCGGCCAUGGCGGCCAUGGAGGCGGCGCCCGUGGGUCCACCCUCGGUUUGGGCGACGGCGGCCGUGGAUCUACCAGAGGCAGGGGCAGCCAUGGCACCGGACGCGGGCGAGCCCAGGGAGGCGGCCCUGGCCAAGGGGAUGGGCAGCCGCUGGGUAGGGGACGCCCUGUCCCUGGUGACGUUCAAGGCGACGGCCCUCCGUUGGGUAGCAGCCGCGCUGGCCAGCCUUCCGGCCAUGGGGACGAUGCCCAGCACGCCGCCGCCGGCGACCCAAACCAUCCGUUCCGCGCAUCGCGUCCUGCAACGACCAAUCAAACCAAAAAGAAAAUGAAUGAGAGUGACUCAAUGGAUUGGAACGACGAGUAUAUUGCCCUUGUUUCAAACAAUUAGAGAAUCUCAUAUCUAGCAUCCAUGGACAAAAAGUUUCAGUCACGUAAUGGAACUGAAGACAAGCUUCCAAUAUGAAUUCAGAUAAGUACUGACCCAUCUUGAUUCCAAUCAUCUGAUUUAACUACUGUAUUUCAUCAUCCUGAGCGCUGUACAAUAGAAAAAUUUUAUGUUAAUUCAUUUUUACAUCAGGUUAUUGUCUGUUGCCUUUUGUGAAGUAACCACACAACUUUUCCCUUAGCUUAUUAUCCAAAGCAAAGAUUAAAUUUCAGAGUUUGGCCUAUGCCACAAAUAACAGUUGUGCCGGGCUGAUUCUUGGCAUCUGAAUGUUUAAAUGGUAAUUGGAUUAUUUAAUGAAAAUAUCACUAGAUGAGAUGAUGUUGUAAGCUUUAUGCUAGUUUAUGUUUGAUGGCCAGCUGGUGUUUGUACUAGAGGAUUUAUGCUAUCGAGUGGUUCAUAUUUUAGCCAUAUGAAUAACUUCAGUUUAGGUAAUAACAAUAUUUUGAAUCAGGGAGACUCUGUACCGUGUUUGCCUCCUUAAAUAAUAGUUUUUUAAACUUCUGUUGGUUGCAUAUCGACAGCCACGAGUUUGUGCAUUCCAAAUGAAAAUUAUUAUGAUGUUCAUUUUUGGCUCAGGUUGUUGAAUUCGGUUAUAAUUUCAGGGAGACAGGAUCUGAGUGAGCAGGGUUCAGCAGCAAAGUGAGAAAAUGGAUGACCAGCAAAGUGAGCUAGAAGAUUUGAAGCUGAAGUUCCAGGAAUCUGAAGCAGCAAGGGAGAAUCAUAGGGGACAGAUUGAAGCUAGAGGAGAGACUUUUUGGCUGUGAGGUCAUAGGGAUGUCUUGUCUGCUAUCUUUUUGCUUUUGGGCUAUUUAUAGUGACUUGACAAGUGAUGUUGGUUAUGAUAUGCAUAGGGAUCUGAUAGUUUUUGGACAAGUGGUAUCGGGUUCUAAUAAAUAUUAUGUGAAGCGGCCAGUGUUUUGAAUGAAUAUGUUGUUUUGAAUUGAUCUCAGUCCAAAACAAAUAAUAAGAUUGAAAAAAUAGAUUGAAAUUGAUAA
RNA transcript from Panicum virgatum (switchgrass), 1638 nucleotides. It is a transcript of the gene named glycine-rich protein DOT1-like, with no coding region annotated. The record is from RefSeq and is a predicted model, not a curated record. The transcript has 4 exons. Lineage: Eukaryota; Viridiplantae; Streptophyta; Magnoliopsida; Poales; Poaceae.